CACCGCGGUUAUACGAGGGGCUCAAGUUGACAGACAGCGGCGUAAAGCGUGGUUAAGGAACCCCCUCCCCAAACUAAAGUCGAACGUCCUCAGAACUGUUAUACGUAUCCGAAGAUAAGAAGCCCCAUCACGAAAGUAACUUUAUCUCCCCUGACCCCACGAAAGCUGUGACA
Molecule: ribosomal RNA, 173 nt
Filed under: Plectroglyphidodon dickii (blackbar devil)
Lineage: Eukaryota; Metazoa; Chordata; Actinopteri; Pomacentridae
Description: partial 12S rRNA
Source: RNAcentral